UUCACAGCAUACAGAAGGGCAUCCCCCAUCAGCAGUGAGUUUGGAGCCAACUUCCCUUAAAAGCUUGACAGCUGAUAUGUGUCCCCCCUUUGUGUGUGUGUGAUUACUACAUCUUUCACAACUGAAAUUCAUGACACUAAAAUCUAACAGCUGAUCAUUUUCUAACUUAUAAGUCACAUUUAGUGGUGUACUUAAACCAUUUGACUGAAACAAAAUUCAUGUGAAGAAAUAGAUUUAGCUGCAUUUAAAUUCAUAUAUAAUAAGCUAUAUGAUUCCUAUGUGUUAUAGGUUAAACUUUUCCUUAAAAAUACAUUCUGUGACAACCUACAUUUAUGUUAUAGCCCACGUAUUUAUUGGUAGACAUGUUUGCUUGUUGAAUUAGCUUUAUUUCCCUGUACUAUUGGGAUAUUUUUACAUACAAAAUUUUGUUCAAGCUGUUCAGUUUCUAUGGCAGUAAGAGAAAAAUGAAGUCUGUUUUCUCUGUGAAAAAGGCAGGCCUGGCCCAUUUCUCUGCCUAUGAGAAUGUACAGCAGGUUGGUUCAGCUCGGAAGCCUUUUAUAGCCUGGAGGUCUCAGUUGCACUGGGCUCGUUUGUUGAAAUAAAGUGCAGAACAAGAGCUGCCAUCCGUUUCAGAGAGAGAGAGAGACACUGCGGGCAAGCCUCUAGAUGGACUGCAAAGUCAGUACCUAUGACCAGCAGGGUACGGAUUCCAGCUCCACAGUGUGCCGUAAGAGUGGUCAGCGGUGAGAGGGAAGGACUCCCCAGCAGCCCCUGAAUCCAUGCCUGCCUCGACCUUCAAGUGACAGGAAGACCUGACAGGAUGAAGGACUCCACCUGUCCUUUUCUGCUUCUGGCCUGAGAACCCUGUCCACUGACCACCCUGACGAGGAAAGGCAAAGCAAAAGAUGACUGCAGAGAAUGGCGGUGUCUGAGGUGUCGGAGGGACAUCGUGAAGGCAGGUAGCCUGAAGAGGAACCGAGAGGAUCAAGAGGAAGUCUCAGAUAUCGAUAGUCAGCAGAAUCCAAUGUUCAGAGCCAAGGACAUGGGCCGUAGACUCAACCACAACACACAAGGAAGGAAUUGUGAAAAUGGCAGGAUAAUGACGAUGGGGCUGUGUAGCCACUGAGUGCCUGAACAGGCCUCUAAGCACCUCUACCACAGAUGUGACUGGAUUGACAGGACUCAAGUGAUGAAAUGGCAUUCUACUGUGUGUCACUCAGCUCAGCUGCUGGAAGACACAAUUGUCACUUCAGGGAGGCUUCAGGCUCAACAAUUUAGAGCCCUGUUUUUAAAAUUCAAACUUAGGUUGGCUCCAGCAUGACAGAAAGAGAGAAAGGGGGAGGGAAAGAAAAGGAAAGGGAGAAGGUGGACAGAAAUGAAAUAUGAGAAAUGCUUUUUGUGUCAAAGGUAGCCAAGCCCGCCAUAAAUCUCCCCACCAUGUAAAACUUUGUUUAUGAACGGGCCUCGCUGUUUCUGGAAUGUGAUGGCCUGUCCAUCACUCCAGACCCUUUUUUAAAAUUAUUGAUACAUAUAUGUGUGUGAAUAAAUAUAUAAAUACAA
Long non-coding RNA from Mesocricetus auratus (golden hamster), 1560 nucleotides. RefSeq lists it as uncharacterized. NCBI's taxonomy places the organism in Eukaryota, Metazoa, Chordata, Mammalia, Rodentia, Cricetidae. The transcript is spliced from 3 exons. The record is from RefSeq and is a predicted model, not a curated record.